GGGGCCAGGAAGUGAGAGCCGAGGAUGAGUCCCGCCCGGGAGGUGGUGUAAAGGCUGCAGGGAGGCCCCGAACAUGUGGAAUCCCAAUGCCGGACAGCCAGGGCCUCAUCCAUAUCCCCCUAACAUCGCGUACCCUGGAGGUGCCAAUCCUGCCCAUCCGCCACCUGUGAAUCCCGCCUACCCCCCGGGCCCCUAUCCAACUCCCCCAGGGGCUCCCCAGGGGAAUCCAGCUUUUCCCCCUGGCGGGCCCCCUUAUCCUGCGCCACAACCAGGGUACCCCGGAUGCCAACCCACGGGUCCCUACCCACCUCCCUACCCACCACCUGUUCCUGGCACGCCUCUUGUGAAUCCCUUGCCACCUGGCAUGGGGGGACCGGGAAUGGUGAUGGACAAGAAGAUGCGGAAGAAAAUGAAGAAAGCUCAUAAAAAGACGCACAAACACCACAAGCAUGGCAAGCAUUCCUCCUCCUCCUCCUCCUCUUCCAGCAGUGACUCUGACUGAAUGCAGGGUCUGGACCCUUCCCUCAAGCCUCUCCAGUUCUGCUCUCCCAUCAAGCUUCAAAUGGCAUCUUGUACGGGGGAAAAUUAGCCCUUGUACCCCUUCUCCCUUACCCCCCACUCUGAGCCUUACUCUGCUGUUCAGCCCUAACUGGCUAGGGAAAAUGGGCCAAUGAAUUGCCAUGGGCUAGCAAAGACCAUCUUCUAACUACUUGAAAAGACCUUUUAGCUGAUGAGCUUAGCAGGAGAACUAUGUUUUUGAGGCUGAUGAGACCUUUGAGCUAAAUGCUGAAGAUGAGUUUAAGAUCUGUAAAAUGAGAUUUUUUUUUUUAACUUUCUUUUGUAAUACUUGUAGUUGGGAGGGGUUGUGGAAAUUUAAUUAUGGAAGAAAAGAAACUGUGCCGUUUUGUAAUGGUGGCUGGCAUACUUUGGUGAUUUAGUGGCAAAUAGAUUUCCCACCAGCCUCUAUUGAUUGUACUAACUGUAAGCCUGCUGGGAGGUGGAGUCCAUUUGGUUCAUAAGCUCUACCUGCCGGUUUGGAAUCUAAUCUCACUUCUUAGCCUCAGUAGGCUGGCUCAGGGCCUUCUCAUUCUCCAGCUCUCAGCCCAAAUAAAGCUUUUUUUUUCCUGGUCUCUGUUCA
This 1138-nucleotide long non-coding RNA is filed under the name Canis lupus dingo (dingo). RNAcentral describes it as "lncRNA (ENSCAFG00020021013.1)". Lineage: Eukaryota; Metazoa; Chordata; Mammalia; Carnivora; Canidae. The record is from RNAcentral.